This 514-nucleotide unclassified non-coding RNA is filed under the name Hevea brasiliensis (rubber tree). Lineage: Eukaryota; Viridiplantae; Streptophyta; Magnoliopsida; Malpighiales; Euphorbiaceae. The record is from RNAcentral.
GAAGCAGCAUAAUAAACCAUUUCAGGGAAGUUUGAAGCACGAUGAAGGAAAACAUGUGCCAUUCGAGUGCUUAAUAGGUUUUGUUUUUGAUCAGUUGACACAGAAUCUUCAGAAGUUCGAUCUUGAUGGAGCAGGAAAUGUUGAUAAGAGCUAUGAUACGUCCCCACAGUCACCAUUGUCCCCUCAGAUUGAUCAUUUCAAGGCUGUGGCAAGCAUUUGGGAAGGUCGAAAAGCAGAAGUAAAUGGGUUUUUCGGAAACUUGAGGUUUGCAAGAGUUGGAGGUGUUCCAUCAGGCAUAGUGGGAGUCAGUUCUUCUGUGAACGAUGGGGAUGAUGGGGUUUCUUCUCAGAGUAGGGAAGAAACUAGUGGCAUUUCGCCACAGAAACUAGCGAGUGGUAUUCUUAGCAUUCCUCUUUCUAAUGUUGAACGCUUGAGAUCCACAUUAUCUACCGUGUCAUUGACCGAGCUUAUUGAGCUUUUACCACAAGUAGGGCGGUCUUCUAAAGAUUAUCCA